UCAUUAUCACACGACUCACGUUGUAGAUACGUGUGUCUAGAGCUAGAAUCGUCUCCUGUAGGAGACUGUGAGCUGCUGGAGGGCAGGAAGCCAGGUUUUGUGUGUGCGUCUUUCGUGCUUACAUAGCUUCUUAUACUAAGCAGGCGAUCAAUGAAUAUGAAAGAAAUAGAUAACGUGAUAGGUGAGUAACUAGCACGCGAGCAAGAUUUUCAUUAAGCUUCAGGGAAUCUGUCCCAUGAAUGAGGACAGAUAUUUUCUUGCCUGAAGUGCUCUCUGUUCUCAGACGUACAACCCCUGUAACUUGGCAGAUAUGGUAAGAAAUCCCGAAGAUGCUGGAGGCUGGUACAUCUGCGGGUGGAUGAGUCUGUCCUCAAGACGGGACAUUCCCAGUUCCAGGCGCCGUUUGCGUCUCCCUGGUCCUGAGGCACGUGUGGAAGCAUAAGUGGUCAAGGAUGAGGCUGAAAGGUUUACCCCCACUAAGGAGGCAGAGCCAAACGGAGGACGGAGGCCCUCAAAGAAGGGAGCUCUCAUUCUGGCUCGUGGAACAGAGUUGCUGUGCCUGGAGGGGUCUGCACCACCUGGGACUCACGGAGAGCAGCACGAGCCCUCGUCAGAAGGUGGAGGGGAGGACAAGCCCCUGCAGCGCGUUAGCGGGAAGGGGCUGCCCACCCCUAGCCAGCUGCCGGAGACGCCAGGCCUGCAGCAUUUCACUUCCAGCUGGGACACCAGUGCUGCUGUGUCACACUGUUGUUAAGUGAGUGCAGGCUGGUGCUUCCUGUCUUGAGUAACUGUUCAAUGAGGCUGGAAGAAUUAAUGGGUAAAUUUCCUCUCUAUCCCAGCCAGGGCUUCCAGGAGGCAGGCCCUCAGCUCCACUGUUACAAUCUGUUGUUAUUCCUAUUAGAUCACUAGCAUGGACACAAAUUCAAUUUGAUACUUUAUUACAUACUGUCUUGUACUUGUCUCUGAUUAUUUAAUCUAAGUCCUGAA
Physeter macrocephalus (sperm whale) is the source of this 987-nucleotide long non-coding RNA. RefSeq lists it as uncharacterized. The record is from RefSeq and is a predicted model, not a curated record. NCBI's taxonomy places the organism in Eukaryota, Metazoa, Chordata, Mammalia, Artiodactyla, Physeteridae. The transcript has 3 exons.